Molecule: ribosomal RNA, 256 nt
Filed under: uncultured archaeon
Lineage: Archaea
Description: partial 16S ribosomal RNA
Rfam family: Bacterial small subunit ribosomal RNA
Source: RNAcentral
UAAUACAGAGGGUGCAAGCGUUAAUCGGAAUUACUGGGCGUAAAGCGUGCGUAGACGGUUAUUUAAGUCGGGUGUGAAAUCCCCGGGCUCAACCUGGGAAUUGCAUUCGAGACUGAAUAGCUAGGGUUCGGAAGAGGGAAGCGGAAUUUCCGGUGUAGCGGUGAAAUGCGUAGAUAUCGGAAGGAACAUCAGUGGCGAAAGCGGCUUCCUGGUCCAGAACCGACGUUCAGGCACGAAAGCGUGGGGAGCAAACAGG